RNAcentral lists this ribosomal RNA (770 nucleotides) under uncultured bacterium. Its description in RNAcentral is "bacterial SSU rRNA". It matches the Rfam family "Bacterial small subunit ribosomal RNA", at positions 8 to 796 of the family's 1533-position model. The record is from RNAcentral.
AGAGUUUGAUCCUGGCUCAGGACGAACGCUGGCGGCGUGCUUAACACAUGCAAGUCGAGCGGAAAGGCCCUUCGGGGUACUCGAGCGGCGAACGGGUGAGUAACACGUGAGUAAUCUGCCCCUAGCUCUGGGAUAGCUCCGGGAAACCGGGAUUAAUACCGGAUACGACCACUACAGACAUCUGUUCUGGUGGAAAGAAUUUCGGCUAGGGAUGAGCUCGCGGCCUAUCAGCUUGUUGGUGGGGUAACGGCCUACCAAGGCGACGACGGGUAGCCGGCCUGAGAGGGCGACCGGCCACACUGGGACUGAGACACGGCCCAGACUCCUACGGGAGGCAGCAGUGGGGAAUAUUGCGCAAUGGGCGAAAGCCUGACGCAGCGACGCCGCGUGGGGGAUGAAGGCCUUCGGGUUGUAAACCCCUUUCAGCAGGGACGAAGCGAAAGUGACGGUACCUGCAGAAGAAGCGCCGGCUAACUACGUGCCAGCAGCCGCGGUAACACGUAGGGCGCAAGCGUUGUCCGGAAUUAUUGGGCGUAAAGAGCUCGUAGGCGGUCUGUUGCGUCCGCUGUGAAAACUCGGGGCUUAACCCCGAGCCUGCAGUGGAUACGGGCAGACUAGAGGUAGGUAGGGGAGAAUGGAAUUCCCGGUGUAGCGGUGAAAUGCGCAGAUAUCGGGAGGAACACCGGUGGCGAAGGCGGUUCUCUGGGCCUUACCUGACGCUGAGGAGCGAAAGCGUGGGGAGCGAACAGGAUUAGAUACCCNNGUAGUCC